GAUGAACGCUGGCGGCGUGCCUUAGGCAUGCAAGUCGAACGGUGGUAGCAAUACCGCAGUGGCGGAAGGGUGAGUAACACGUAGGAACGUACCCAAUGGUGGAGGAUAGCUCACCGAAAGGUGAGGUAAUACUCCGUAUCUCGCAAGAGCAUAGCGCCUUACCGCGCGCCAAUGGAGCGGCCUGCGGCCUAUCAGUUUGUUGGUGAGGUAAAAGCUCACCAAGACUAUGACGGGUAGCUGGGCUGAGAGGUCGGCCAGCCACAAUGGAACUGAGACACGGUCCAUACAUCUACGGAUGGCAGCAACCGGGAAUCUUGGACAAUGGGGGAAACCCUGAUCCAGCGACGCCGCGUGAAGGAAGAAGGUCUUCGGAUUGUAAACUUCUUUUGCCGAUCAUAACGAUCGGAGAAUAAGCACCUGCCAACUACGUGCCAGCAGCCGCGGUGAUACGUAGGGUGCGAGCGUUAUCCGGAUUUACUGGGCGUAAAGGGUUGCGUAGGCGGUUUAUUAAGUCAACACUGAAAUCUCCAUGCUUAACAUGGAACCCGGUUUUGAUACUAGUAAACUUUGAGUCUUGGAGAGGUAACUGGAACUUGCAGUGGAGCGGUGAAAUGCGUUGAGAUUGCAAGGAACACCAAAGGCGUAGGCAGGUUACUGGCCGAGAUCUGACGCUGAUGCACGAAAGCCAGGGGAGCGAAUGGGAUUAGAGACCCCAGUAGUCCUGGCUGUAAACUAUGAACACUAGAUGACUGGCCCACACUUUUUUCUUGCACGGCAAGAAGAUGGUGCGGGCUGGUUGUCGCAAGCUAACGCGUUAAGUGUUCCGCCUGGGGAGUACGGCCGCAAGGCUA
RNAcentral lists this ribosomal RNA (851 nucleotides) under uncultured microorganism. RNAcentral describes it as "bacterial SSU rRNA". It matches the Rfam family "Bacterial small subunit ribosomal RNA", at positions 28 to 896 of the family's 1533-position model. The record is from RNAcentral.